RNAcentral lists this ribosomal RNA (257 nucleotides) under uncultured archaeon. RNAcentral describes it as "partial 16S ribosomal RNA". It matches the Rfam family "Archaeal small subunit ribosomal RNA", at positions 748 to 1007 of the family's 1478-position model. The record is from RNAcentral.
CAGCCGUAAACUAUGCUCGCUAGGUGUCAGGCAUGGCGCGACCGUGUCUGGUGCCGCAGGGAAGCCGUGAAGCGAGCCACCUGGGAAGUACGGCCGCAAGGCUGAACUUAAGGAAUUGGCGGGGGAGCACAACAACGGGUGGAGCCUGCGGUUUAAUUGGACUCAACGCCGGACAACUCACCGGGGACGACAGCAAUAUGUAGGCCAGGCUGAAGACCUUGCCUGAAUCGCUGAGAGGAGGUGCAUGGCGUAGACGU